This 250-nucleotide ribosomal RNA is filed under the name uncultured bacterium. Its description in RNAcentral is "partial 16S ribosomal RNA". It matches the Rfam family "Bacterial small subunit ribosomal RNA", at positions 524 to 776 of the family's 1533-position model. The record is from RNAcentral.
GACGUAGGGCGCGAGCGUUGUCCGGAUUUAUUGGGCGUAAAGAGCUCGUAGGCGGCUUGUCGCGUCGACCGUGAAAACUUGGGGCUCAACCCAAGCCUGCGGUCGAUACGGGCAGGCUCGAGUUCGGUAGGGGAGACUGGAAUUCCUGGUGUAGCGGUGAAAUGCGCAGAUAUCAGAGGAACACCGGUGGCGAAGGCGGUCUCUGGGCCGAUACUGACGCUGAGGAGCGAAAGCGUGGGGAGCGAACAGG